RNAcentral lists this ribosomal RNA (516 nucleotides) under Bacillus stratosphericus. RNAcentral describes it as "bacterial SSU rRNA". It matches the Rfam family "Bacterial small subunit ribosomal RNA", at positions 1 to 502 of the family's 1533-position model. The record is from RNAcentral. Lineage: Bacteria; Bacillati; Bacillota; Bacilli; Caryophanales; Bacillaceae.
UUGGAGAAAUUUGAUCCUGGCUCAGGACGAACGCUGGCGGCGUGCCUAAUACAUGCAAGUCGAGCGGACAGAAGGGAGCUUGCUCCCGGAUGUUAGCGGCGGACGGGUGAGUAACACGUGGGUAACCUGCCUGUAAGACUGGGAUAACUCCGGGAAACCGGAGCUAAUACCGGAUAGUUCCUUGAACCGCAUGGUUCAAGGAUGAAAGACGGUUUCGGCUGUCACUUACAGAUGGACCCGCGGCGCAUUAGCUAGUUGGUGAGGUAACGGCUCACCAAGGCGACGAUGCGUAGCCGACCUGAGAGGGUGAUCGGCCACACUGGGACUGAGACACGGCCCAGACUCCUACGGGAGGCAGCAGUAGGGAAUCUUCCGCAAUGGACGAAAGUCUGACGGAGCAACGCCGCGUGAGUGAUGAAGGUUUUCGGAUCGUAAAGCUCUGUUGUUAGGGAAGAACAAGUGCAAGAGUAACUGCUUGCACCUUGACGGUACCUAACCAGAAAGCCACGGCAAUAU